AUGAACGCUGGCGGCGUGCCUCAUACAUGCAAGUCGCGCGCACAGACGAGGAGCUUGCUCCUCUGACGUUAGCGGCGGACGGGUGAGUAACACGUGGAUAACCUACCUAUAAGACUGGGAUAACUUCGGGAAACCGGAGCUAAUACCGGAUAAUAUAUUGAACCGCAUGGUUCAAUAGUGAAAGACGGUUUUGCUGUCACUUAUAGAUGGAUCCGCGCCGCAUUAGCUAGUUGGUAAGGUAACGGCUUACCAAGGCAACGAUGCGUAGCCGACCUGAGAGGGUGAUCGGCCACACUGGAACUGAGACACGGUCCAGACUCCUACGGGAGGCAGCAGUAGGGAAUCUUCCGCAAUGGGCGAAAGCCUGACGGAGCAACGCCGCGUGAGUGAUGAAGGUCUUCGGAUCGUAAAACUCUGUUAUUAGGGAAGAACAAAUGUGUAAGUAACGAUGCACGUCUGGACGGUACCUAAGCAGAAAGCCACGGCUAACUACGG
This 495-nucleotide ribosomal RNA is filed under the name uncultured bacterium. Its description in RNAcentral is "partial 16S ribosomal RNA". It matches the Rfam family "Bacterial small subunit ribosomal RNA", at positions 29 to 506 of the family's 1533-position model. The record is from RNAcentral.